GGUGUCAGCAUUCCCAAGGUUAAGUGUCAGCAUUCCCAAGGGCAUCAACAUCCCCCUGUACGUCAUCUCCGUCACCAAGAACAGACUCAUUAGCAUUAAAAACAGCAUUAGAAUGUUGAAGAAUAGGAUCAAGGUGCAUUUGAUCCCCAUAACCACCGAUCUCACCAAUGCGCAACAAACCUCCCCCAAGAUCUUGCAGCAAGAUAUCAUCAUCCACAACAUGACAGUCUACAAUUCCAACUCCCGCACGCCCCACCACCAUAGUUGCCUUCCCUUC
RNAcentral lists this unclassified non-coding RNA (277 nucleotides) under Hevea brasiliensis (rubber tree). The record is from RNAcentral. Lineage: Eukaryota; Viridiplantae; Streptophyta; Magnoliopsida; Malpighiales; Euphorbiaceae.